Molecule: transfer RNA, 76 nt
Filed under: Pseudomonas sp. MWU12-2323
Lineage: Bacteria; Pseudomonadati; Pseudomonadota; Gammaproteobacteria; Pseudomonadales; Pseudomonadaceae
Description: tRNA-Met
Rfam family: tRNA
About the family: Transfer RNA (tRNA) molecules are approximately 80 nucleotides in length.
Source: RNAcentral
UGCGUGGUGGAGCAGAGGCCAGCUCGUCGGGCUCAUAACCCGAAGGUCGUCGGUUCGUAUCCGGCCCUCGCAUCCA